CAAUUGCUUGCUUUUACUCGCUUUGGAGUAUUUCGAACCAAAAUGUGUAACUUUUUUCCGUUGUAUUGUAUAAAUCUGUGGAUUGAAUGGCUAUAUUUCCAGGAAAUUGAUGUGUUUGGUGCAGGAAAUUAUGUUCUUGUAAUAACUUCGUGGACGGAAGUUGGGACUAAUCUCGGCUUCCCUGUUUAUCGAGUGACCUCGAUGAGGUUUCUGUCCUGCAACGAGGGUAUGAAGAAUUCAACUGCUCAGGAGAAAAAGGAUGAGGCGUACUUCAUGGCUCUGUUGAAAACAGUCCAAUCAACGCCGGGGCUGUACUUCUCGAUUCGAGGUUCAAUUCCGCUUCUUUGGGAGUAAAUUGUUGACUUGAGCUAUAAACCACAACUUAGAAUUAUUACUCAUGAGAGACAAUGGCAGUUCCAUCCCCUUUUACUCUUUUCUUGGCUUCAUGCAUGGCGAUGAAGGUCAACUAAGUACGGCAUUUUCUGCUGAAAUGCAAAAUCUAUCAAAUGUGAGGUGACAAUUUGCAUAUCUAUGUUGGCUCCCAACUGAAUCAUUGUCCCACUGCAAGUAGAUUCCUUUUUUGUUUUCGAGGUUGCCUAUGAUGAAGUCAGUUCUAUUGGUUGGCAUUGGGAACAAUGUCAGAAAUGAGAUUUUGUUCUCAACUUGCUAGUGUUUUUGUUGUAGAUACGUUUCAUUUGACUUCCAUCAAGUAUGUGGUAACUCAAACUUUGAAAACCUAAAGGUUCUAUACGAGCAGAUCUCAGAGCAAUUUGAAAAGCAAGGCUGAGCAGAUACUUCCCCGUAGAUGCGAAAGGCAAUAUACUGGAGGAGCAGAAAGGGAUUGUCAGAUCAAACUGCAUUGGUUGCCUUGAUAGAACAAAUGUUACUCAGAGUUACUUGGCCCAGAAGUCUCUAGAUGCACA
Malus domestica (apple) is the source of this 923-nucleotide non-coding RNA. The record is from RefSeq and is a predicted model, not a curated record. Lineage: Eukaryota; Viridiplantae; Streptophyta; Magnoliopsida; Rosales; Rosaceae.